Long non-coding RNA from Planococcus citri (citrus mealybug), 1358 nucleotides. RefSeq lists it as uncharacterized. The record is from RefSeq and is a predicted model, not a curated record. The transcript is spliced from 5 exons. Lineage: Eukaryota; Metazoa; Arthropoda; Insecta; Hemiptera; Pseudococcidae.
UUUCAAGCCAUUAUUUUUGCCACGUUAAAAAUUCGAAACGACAAUCCCUCGAAUUUUUGAUUUUCGUUUUUGCCCUCUCCCCACUUUUCCCACCCCACUCAAUGCGUUUUUUUUGAUGAUAUGAAACUCGAAACUGAUAAGCAACGGCGAUGAGAGAUUUAAGAUUUUUAAUUAAUUUCAUCAUUUAAGCAAAGUUUUCAGAAAUAAUACUCAUGGAAUCAAUAUUUAUCUAUGAUUAUUGAUUACUUACUACCACGAGUAGCAAGGUAGGACGUACGAGCCAAACAAAUGAACGAUAAAUUCAACGUAAUAAUUGAGCUGAAAGUAAAUCUCAAAAUGAGAACUGAUGGAAAAGAAGAAUACGCUUAUGUCAUAUGACAUUUGACGAAUAUCUACGGUCGACCAUUCAAUAUUCAACCUUCUACGAGAACAAUCUGAAAAAGAGCAGAUCAGCAGUGUCAACGUAAUAGAGGGAAUUGGAUCGCACGAUGAAGAGUAGAUGAUGAAACAAAACAGCAGAUACUAUACCUGAUUAGUCUCUGUGCCUAUAUGCUGUUUGCUUACGAUGUACCUAACUGAACAACGAUUAAAAAUUUCCAGGUACCGAAGUAAUUAACCGAACUAAUGGUAACGAAUACUUCGAACGAAAGGAUAAACUGAACUGCAGCUGUAGCCCACUCAGUUGAAUUUGCCAAUGCAACCGACGUUAGCGAGCACGAAGGAUGAUCAAUUCAUAACGAAUAAUAUAAUCGAUCAGUACACAAUGCAAAAUAUACAAACUGAAUCUCAGAUUUCAUGAAUGGAGAUUACGCGAGUGAGUUGAGGAAAAUGGUACUUUUUUAGACGUGAUUAGAAUUUUCUUCGUUAUUUUCGUGAUCUUUUUGAUCCAUAUACGUGAAUGUGAAAUAGAAAACAUCAAGAGUUACUACCGAAAUGAAUCCAAGAUUUCAGUUAUUGUCAAUUGUCCAAUAUUCAUCUUGUAUCUUAUCGUUGAAGUGUUCAAAUCAUGCUUUCAUCGCAAGAAGUGUACUGCGUUCGAGUUCAACGUACCUACGUAGGUACCUAUAUAAUGAUUUUCAAAUGCUAACGCCGGCCGGAUACUCGUCCUAGCUCAUAUCAGUAAUAAUUAUAAGUAUAUGAGCUAUUAUUACCGAAGAAAUAUCGUUCAUUCCUUGAUCUAGCUUCAGUAUAAUAUAAGUGACUGUGCUAAUGAAAAGAAGAAGAUCAGAUAUGUCGAUUCGUCGUUGAUACAUAAAUAGCCUCUAUCUACUUUUUGAGUAUAAAUUUUCUCGAGAACGAGUAAAUUAUUUUCCCUAUUGUAAUUUACCUCGUGUAAUAAAUAAUCAUCAGUUCAACUA